RNAcentral lists this ribosomal RNA (484 nucleotides) under uncultured bacterium. Its description in RNAcentral is "partial 16S ribosomal RNA". It matches the Rfam family "Bacterial small subunit ribosomal RNA", at positions 30 to 507 of the family's 1533-position model. The record is from RNAcentral.
AUUGAACGCUGGCGGCAGGCCUAACACAUGCAAGUCGAGCGGAUGAAGGGAGCUUGCUCCUGGAUUCAGCGGCGGACGGGUGAGUAAGGCCUAGGAAUCUGCCUGGUAGUGGGGGAUAACGUCCGGAAACGGGCGCUAAUACAGCAUACGUCCUGAGGGAGAAAGAGGGGGAUCUUCGGACCUCACGCUAUCAGAUGAGCCUAGGUCGGAUUAGCUAGUUGGUGGGGUAAAGGCCUACCAAGGCGACGAUCCGUAACUGGUCUGAGAGGAUGAUCAGUCACACUGGAACUGAGACCCGGUCCAGACUCCUACGGGAGGCAGAAGUGGGGAAUAUUGGACAAUGGGCGAAAUCCUGCUCCAGCCCUGCCGCGUGUGUGAAGAAGGUCUUCGGAUUGUAAAGCCCUUUAAGUUGGGAGGAAGGGCAGUAAGUUAAUACCUUGCUGUUUUGACGUUACCAACAGAAUAAGCACCGGCUAACUUCGUG